This 179-nucleotide non-coding RNA is filed under the name Salisediminibacterium beveridgei. Its description in RNAcentral is "Bacillus beveridgei Lysine sequence". It matches the Rfam family "Lysine riboswitch aptamer". Rfam says of the family: Riboswitches are metabolite binding domains within certain messenger RNAs that serve as precision sensors for their corresponding targets. Allosteric rearrangement of mRNA structure is mediated by ligand binding, and this results in modulation of gene expression. This family includes riboswitches that sense lysine in a number of genes involved in lysine metabolism, including lysC. The record is from Rfam by way of RNAcentral. Lineage: Bacteria; Bacillati; Bacillota; Bacilli; Caryophanales; Bacillaceae.
CGGUGGGGUAGAGGCGCAACAGUCAUCAGUCGCAUACGGGAGUGACGCUCCACAAUGAUCGUAUGCUAAAGGGGCCGUUGCCGAAGUGGCUGACACAGACGAAAAGUCGGCUGCUGGGGUCAUAUCGAACAGGUAUGGCACUGUCAUGGUUGGUUUAACCAUGGAGGACUACUCUGGAG